Long non-coding RNA from Lathyrus oleraceus (garden pea), 474 nucleotides. RefSeq lists it as uncharacterized. The record is from RefSeq and is a predicted model, not a curated record. The transcript has 2 exons. Lineage: Eukaryota; Viridiplantae; Streptophyta; Magnoliopsida; Fabales; Fabaceae.
CUCAGUAAUUCGUUGGGCCUGAGGUUUUGAGCCCAUAUCAUUGAAGACACAUGGGAAAUAGGGGGUAUAGCGCUGGAAGGGAGUGUGCAUCAGUAAUUCGUAGAAACAACAAAGGUGAAGAUGAAGAUGCUACAGGGCUGGCUGCGACUUAAGUGAGGCAAACUUGGCUUGGUAUUGGCAUGGCAUCAUGUGGUGAAGAGAUUGGAGUGCAUCAAGAAUCAUGAAGAAGUUGAGGACCUUGGCAUACUUGAAGAACAUGAAGAAUCACCCAUGACAGAAGGCUUAGAGAUAUUUUGGAACUGCUUAGAAAUAGGUCUAGGAUAGAGGUUUGACUUUGGGCAUCUGUUGGAUCAAAAGUCGACAGUUGAACAAAAAGUCAACCAUAAGUCAAAUGUAAAUUUUCUUUGUAAUUUCCAAAUCGGAUACCUUUGUAAUGUCUUUGCACACUUGAAUUAAGGCUUUUGAGUUUUUUAA